AAUUUAAAUAGUUUAAAAAAAAAUAUUGAUUUGUGGUGUCAAUGAUGAGAGCUAUUCUCUUUAAAUC
This 67-nucleotide transfer RNA is filed under the name Peckia australis. Its description in RNAcentral is "tRNA-His". Lineage: Eukaryota; Metazoa; Arthropoda; Insecta; Diptera; Sarcophagidae. The record is from RNAcentral.